RNAcentral lists this ribosomal RNA (680 nucleotides) under uncultured organism. Its description in RNAcentral is "bacterial SSU rRNA". It matches the Rfam family "Bacterial small subunit ribosomal RNA", at positions 1 to 663 of the family's 1533-position model. The record is from RNAcentral.
UGCAGAAAGGGCUUAGAGUUUGAUCAUGGCUCAGGAUGAACGCUAGCUACAGGCUUAACACAUGCAAGUCGAGGGGCAGCAUGGUCUUAGCUUGCUAAGGCCGAUGGCGACCGGCGCACGGGUGAGUAACACGUAUCCAACCUGCCGUCUACUCUUGGACAGCCUUCUGAAAGGAAGAUUAAUACAAGAUGGCAUCAUGAGUUCACAUGUUCACAUGAUUAAAGGUUUUCCGGUAGACGAUGGGGAUGCGUUCCAUUAGAUAGUAGGCGGGGUAACGGCCCACCUAGUCUUCGAUGGAUAGGGGUUCUGAGAGGAAGGUCCCCCACAUUGGAACUGAGACACGGUCCAAACUCCUACGGGAGGCAGCAGUGAGGAAUAUUGGUCAAUGGGCGCAGGCCUGAACCAGCCAAGUAGCGUGAAGGAUGACUGCCCUAUGGGUUGUAAACUUCUUUUAUAAAGGAAUAAAGUCGGGUAUGCAUACCCGUUUGCAUGUACUUUAUGAAUAAGGAUCGGCUAACUCCGUGCCAGCAGCCGCGGUAAUACGGAGGAUCCGAGCGUUAUCCGGAUUUAUUGGGUUUAAAGGGAGCGUAGAUGGAUGUUUAAGUCAGUUGUGAAAGUUUGCGGCUCAACCGUAAAAUUGCAGUUGAUACUGGAUAUCUUGAGUGCAGUUGAGGCAGGCG